GCAAUGGCAAACCAGAAUAUCCACGCUUCGGCCUGCGUGGCAAACCAAUAUGUCAUGAUUCGACUCGUGACUGGCAAUCCAUAACAUGUCUAGGCCAAAUUUUUUUUGUUCAUAAAUCAAAUCAUUCAAUUUCAUCCAUACCAAAAAAAUUAUAAUUUUAUAUUUAUUUCAUGCCCAAAUUUGAAAAUAAUCAGCAUCAAAUCCCAAACAGUCAAAAUCAUUAACCAAGCAGCCAUAGUGACCAAUAUUUGAUAUGUCUAUAUAAUAACAAAAUAUGUAUUUAAGUUUUCAUAUCAAAAGCCAAUAAGCAAUCAUACAAAAAAUAAUGCAAAUCCCAAAAUCAUCGGCGCAUGUUACAAAAUAUAUAUUAUCCAUAUAGGUGAUUGUGUAAAGGACUUCUUACAUUUAUCAAUGACAAACUCAAAUACUGAAUACACCGAACCUCUUCUCGAUCUACCAACUCGAAAGCAUAGUAUUCUGCUCAACAUCUUCUUGCCCAAGCGAUUGCUCAUAUCUCACCUUUGGAAUAGUCAUAACUAUCCAUAUAAGAUUAUGGUAGAUGAUCGUAACAAGAUUAGCUCGAACCCUCUGAUAGGGCCGCGUAACACCUACCGGGAACUUUUUGGUUUGCAAUUCCGGCUUGGAAUCCUGGUCGUACAAUGCUGGCACGGACCCCUCCUAGGGUGUGCUUGAAUUCACAAAGUUUCUCGACCCACCAUUGGUCCGCUAAAAUAUGUAGGGAGAGAAAUACAGAAGAGUGCAUGGAAUGACAAUGAAGAGAGGGAAAGAGAGAAGAGGGAAGACAGAAGUCUCUUUUCUUCUUCCUCAAAUCAGGAAAGACUCCCUCUCCCUCUACUUCUCAACCCAAACAACGAAAGGGAUGGUGGACGAUGACCCACAGCGACAUCCGGCCGCAAGGCACCGGCGGGGCUGGCGAGCGCAUGGGAGAAAAAUAAAGAAAAACAGAGGAGAAGUCGGAACAAGGGAAAACUUUGUUUGACCAAAUCUGGCGGUCAAUCGUCCGUAAUCCAACCUACAGCAGCAGCGGCUCCGGCCCUCGUUAACCUGAGCAUUGCUUCCGGCGACGGCGGCAGGACCAGUGGACGAAAAGGAGAAGAAAAGAAAAACAGGGGAGAGGAACAUGGAACAUAGCAGCCAGCUUCCAAUUAAAUCUGGCAACUCGCUGGAGCAAUUCCUAGUGACGAUGAAGACAACGGAACUAGGACAAGAUGGAAGAAGGGUUUUGAGGUUAAUCACCUCUUCGCCGGCAAUAUACGGACAGUAACUUGCCGAGAAAUGUCAACGGAAAAUCAAGGAGAACUGGACGCUAUUUGCAGGCAGUUGAUAGAGGUUUGACGGCGAGAUUGUUAGAAGGAAG
This 1378-nucleotide long non-coding RNA is filed under the name Phoenix dactylifera (date palm). Its description in RNAcentral is "long non-coding RNA (PDAC_LNC007166)". Lineage: Eukaryota; Viridiplantae; Streptophyta; Magnoliopsida; Arecales; Arecaceae. The record is from RNAcentral.